GCCUCAUUUCACAGUUCCCAUCAUGCAGCCUCAGCCAGAAUCAGGCCUUCCACGUGUUUCACCUUUUGUGUGCCUGAAAAACCCUCUAUGUCACAUUUGAUGCAUUAUGGAGAUCUCUCAUCCUAUCUCUGACUGUCACAGCACAUAGAAUUAAAUAAAAAUAUUAAUAAGUCCAGCAGGGAGAGCCUGGUGUGAAGGCAGAGGGCUGAAGGAAACGCUGCUGCCGCACACCAGCAGAGACGGCGGACUGAGUCUUUAUACAGGGGUUCAUGUGGAUUCCUAAGCAGGAAGAUUGGACGAAUACUAGUAGAUCAGUCAGUGGAGCAGAGUAUUGUGAACUCCAGUGUAAAGAUCCAUAAGCUGCAAAUCUGUACCAAAAGGACCACUGUGCACAGAAUCAUGCCAGCAAAUAUGUGGAGGACAAAGGUAAGGAUUAUGAAGAGGUGUGAAACAGACAGCUAAGUUCUUACAAGUU
This 475-nucleotide long non-coding RNA is filed under the name Catharus ustulatus (Swainson's thrush). Its description in RNAcentral is "lncRNA (ENSCUSG00005001350.1)". The record is from RNAcentral. Lineage: Eukaryota; Metazoa; Chordata; Aves; Passeriformes; Turdidae.